UCUGGAACUAGAUUAUAGCUCGCAUCAGGGACGUCCUAGGAGACGCGACGCAGCUGUCCAUGGAAAACCUGCUCCUCCACCACACACGAGACCCGAUCUCGAAAUACAAAAGCUCUAUCCUACGCCACCUCCUUGACGUAGCCAAGGUAUUAAUCCCUACUCUCUGGAAACAAACACAAACCCCCACGAUGGAACAAUGGCUAACCAGAG
Molecule: non-coding RNA, 210 nt
Organism: Pelobates cultripes (western spadefoot toad)
Lineage: Eukaryota; Metazoa; Chordata; Amphibia; Anura; Pelobatidae
Source: the annotation of a GenBank genome assembly